RNAcentral lists this ribosomal RNA (492 nucleotides) under uncultured bacterium. RNAcentral's name for it is "partial 16S ribosomal RNA". It matches the Rfam family "Bacterial small subunit ribosomal RNA", at positions 29 to 507 of the family's 1533-position model. The record is from RNAcentral.
AGUGAACGCUGGCGGUACGCCUAACACAUGCAAGUCGAACGGCAGCACAGUAAGAGCUUGCUCUUACGGGUGGCGAGUGGCGGACGGGUGCGGAAUACAUCGGAAUCUACUUUUUCGUGGGGGAUAACGUAGGGAAACUUACGCUAAUACCGCAUACGACCUACGGGUGAAAGCAGGGGAUCUUCGGACCUUGCGCGAUUGAAUGAGCCGAUGUCGGAUUAGCUAGUUGGCGGGGUAAAGGCCCACCAAGGCGACGAUCCGUAGCUGGUCUGAGAGGAUGAUCAGCCACACUGGAACUGAGACACGGUCCAGACUCCUACGGGAGGCAGCAGUGGGGAAUAUUGGACAAUGGGCGAAAGCCUGAUCCAGCCAUACCGCGUGGGUGAAGAAGGCCUUCGGGUUGUAAAGCCCUUUUGUUGGGAAAGAAAAGCAGCAGGUUAAUACCCCGCUGUUCUGACGGUACCAAAAGAAUAAGCACCGGCUAACUUCGUG